RNAcentral lists this ribosomal RNA (142 nucleotides) under uncultured Thermodesulfovibrio sp. RNAcentral's name for it is "partial 16S ribosomal RNA". It matches the Rfam family "Bacterial small subunit ribosomal RNA", at positions 339 to 498 of the family's 1533-position model. Lineage: Bacteria; Pseudomonadati; Nitrospirota; Thermodesulfovibrionia; Thermodesulfovibrionales; Thermodesulfovibrionaceae. The record is from RNAcentral.
CUACGGGAGGCAGCAGGAAGGAAUAUUGGGCAAUGGGCGAAAGCCUGACCCAGCGACACCGCAUGGGGGAAGAAGGCCUUCGGGUUGUAAACCCCUUUUAUCGAGGGAAGAAUAAUGACGGUACCUGAGAAAAGCCUCGAGU